RNAcentral lists this ribosomal RNA (456 nucleotides) under uncultured bacterium. Its description in RNAcentral is "bacterial SSU rRNA". It matches the Rfam family "Bacterial small subunit ribosomal RNA", at positions 29 to 523 of the family's 1533-position model. The record is from RNAcentral.
AACGAACGCUGGCGGCAGGCCUCAAACAUGCAAGUCUAGGGGGUGUAGCAAUACAUCACCGGCGGACGGGUGCGUAACGCGUGGGAAUAUACCUAUUGGUUCGGAACAACACAGGGAAACUUGUGCUAAUACCGAAUGUGCCCUUACGGGGAAAGAUUUAUCGCCAAUGGAUUAGCCCGCGUCCGAUUAGCUAGUUGGUGAGGUAACGGCUCACCAAGGCUCCGAUCGGUAGCUGUUCUGAGAGGAAGAUCAGCCACACUGGGACUGAGACACGGCCCAGACUCCUACGGGAGGCAGCAGUGGGGGAAUAUUGGACAAUGGGCGAAAGCCUGAUCCAGCAAUGCCGCGUGAGUGAUGAAGGCCUUAGGGUUGUAAAGCUCUUUUACCCGGGAUGAUAAUGACAGUACCGGGAGGAAUAAGACCCCGGCGUAACCUCCGUGCCAGCAGCCGCGGUAA